RNAcentral lists this ribosomal RNA (303 nucleotides) under uncultured bacterium. RNAcentral's name for it is "partial 16S ribosomal RNA". It matches the Rfam family "Bacterial small subunit ribosomal RNA", at positions 507 to 807 of the family's 1533-position model. The record is from RNAcentral.
AGCAGCCGCCGCGGUAAUACGAAGGUCCCGAGCGUUGUUCGGAAUCACUGGGCGUAAAGGGAGCGUAGGCGGCGUGGUAAGUCAGAUGUGAAAUCCCGGGGCUCAACCCCGGAACUGCAUCCGAUACUGCCAUGCUAGAGGAUUGGAGAGGUAGCUGGAAUUCUUGGUGUAGCAGUGAGAUGCGUAGAGAUCUGGAGGAAUACCGGUGGCGAAGGCGGCCCCCUGGACAAAGACUGACGCUCAGGUGCGAAAGCGUGGGGAGCAAACAGGAUUAGAUACCCCGGUAGUCCCUGUCUCUUAUAC